Molecule: ribosomal RNA, 253 nt
Filed under: uncultured bacterium
Lineage: Bacteria
Description: partial 16S ribosomal RNA
Rfam family: Bacterial small subunit ribosomal RNA
Source: RNAcentral
UACGGAGGGUGCAAGCGUUGUUCGGAAUUACUGGGCAUAAAGGGUGCGUAGGCGGCUUGUUAAGUCAGGGGUGAAAGUUUUCGGCCCAACCGGAAAAUUGCCUUUGAUACUGGCGAGCUCGAGUGCGUGAGGGGUAACCGGAACGAGCAGUGUAGCGGUGAAAUGCGUAGAUAUUGCUCGGAAGGCCAACGGCGAAGGCAGGUUACUGGUACGCAACUGACGCUGAGGCACGAAAGCGUGGGGAGCAAACAGG